This 252-nucleotide small nuclear RNA is filed under the name Echinococcus granulosus. RNAcentral's name for it is "partial U1 snRNA". Lineage: Eukaryota; Metazoa; Platyhelminthes; Cestoda; Cyclophyllidea; Taeniidae. The record is from RNAcentral.
AUUGUCGUUGCCAUCUCUCCACCUCGGCUGUGGCAGUGGUGACGAGACGAGACGAGACGAGACGAGACGAGGCGAGUUAGGGGGAGGUACUACUGAAGUGGAGAAGUAGGUGGGAGUAGAGUGCAGGUGGGGUAGUGAGAUGGUGGAGAGGAGAGGGAGGUGGUGAUGAGUGGCGUGUGAGGAGUAGGGUGCGUGGGCGUAGGAAAGCAGAAGAGACGUGGUGGUGUGAGGCGAUGUGUGGUGAUGGAGACG